AGUGAACGCUGGCGGUAGGCCUAACACAUGCAAGUCGAACGGCAGCACAGUAAGAGCUUGCUCUUACGGGUGGCGAGUGGCGGACGGGUGAGGAAUACAUCGGAAUCUACUUUUUCGUGGGGGAUAACGUAGGGAAACUUACGCUAAUACCGCAUACGACCUACGGGUGAAAGCAGGGGAUCUUCGGACCUUGCGCGAUUGAAUGAGCCGAUGUCGGAUUAGCUAGUUGGCGGGGUAAAGGCCCACCAAGGCGACGAUCCGUAGCUGGUCUGAGAGGAUGAUCCGCCACACUGGAGCUGAGCCACGGUCCAGACUCCUACGGGAGGCAGCAGUGGGGAAUAUUGGACAAAGGGCGCAAGCCUGAUCCAGCCAUACCGCGUGGGUGAAGAAGGCCUUCGGGUUGUAAAGCCCUUUUGUUGGUAAAGAAAAGCAGCAGGUUAAUACCCCGCUGUUCUGACGGUACCCAAAGAAUAAGCACCGGCUAACUUCGUG
Molecule: ribosomal RNA, 492 nt
Filed under: uncultured bacterium
Lineage: Bacteria
Description: partial 16S ribosomal RNA
Rfam family: Bacterial small subunit ribosomal RNA
Source: RNAcentral